GCGAUCGUAGUUCAAUUGGUUAGAGCGUCGGCUUGUGAUGCCGGAUGUUGCGGGUUCAAGUCCCGUCGGUCGCCCCA
This 77-nucleotide transfer RNA is filed under the name Sphingomonas sp. Its description in RNAcentral is "tRNA-His". It matches the Rfam family "tRNA". From Rfam's summary of the family: Transfer RNA (tRNA) molecules are approximately 80 nucleotides in length. Their secondary structure includes four short double-helical elements and three loops (D, anti-codon, and T loops). RNAcentral also lists the same sequence under 83 other names. The record is from RNAcentral. Lineage: Bacteria; Pseudomonadati; Pseudomonadota; Alphaproteobacteria; Sphingomonadales; Sphingomonadaceae.